AAGUCGUAACAAGGUUUCCGUAGGUGAACCUGCGGAAGGAUCAUUAACACGUGUUUACUCACGUAUUACUCUCACACACCAAACGAACCGUUUUCCUACCAACCAGUAUUUUUCUGCGGAAAGCGGUUUGGGGCAGUCAGGUCACAAGCCUGGCUGUCUACUACCUGCAGUCUAGCCUGGAACGUAGUAGAGAAAUUAUUUCGACUGACCCGGUCGGGCCGCACCCGCACUUUCGAAAUGUCCUUAUUACUCACACCCUUCAAUAUCUGAUCUAAUUCCUUUUCGUUUCAAUCCUUCUGCAUUCCCGUGGAUAACGGUAGAGUGUGUCUGAGCGAGCGAAUCAAUAAAAAUUACGAAACAACUCUUAGCAACGGAUAUCUUGGUUCUC
This 388-nucleotide unclassified non-coding RNA is filed under the name fungal sp. Its description in RNAcentral is "partial internal transcribed spacer region". The stretch from base 1 to 46 matches the Rfam family "Eukaryotic small subunit ribosomal RNA", at positions 1786 to 1831 of the family's 1831-position model. The record is from RNAcentral. Lineage: Eukaryota; Fungi.